Molecule: long non-coding RNA, 162 nt
Filed under: Aotus nancymaae (Ma's night monkey)
Lineage: Eukaryota; Metazoa; Chordata; Mammalia; Primates; Aotidae
Description: TTC28 antisense RNA 1 conserved region 1 (ENSANAG00000019192.1)
Rfam family: TTC28 antisense RNA 1 conserved region 1
Source: RNAcentral
CCUCGGGCACACGAGGCCUCCACUGCGGUUGCGCGGCCGGUUUAAGAGCGUGCGGCUUCUACUGCGGUUGCGCAAACUCGCCGCGCGCACUCCUGUCUGCUUACGAGGGCAUCUCCCUCCAGCUUUGGUCCCUUGGGGCGUCUGGGCAGCCUACGCUUUCCG